RNAcentral lists this ribosomal RNA (330 nucleotides) under Triticum aestivum (bread wheat). Its description in RNAcentral is "partial small subunit ribosomal RNA". Lineage: Eukaryota; Viridiplantae; Streptophyta; Magnoliopsida; Poales; Poaceae. The record is from RNAcentral.
AUGGUGAUGACGACAUGCAGCCUAUCCCUGCUGCGCUGGAGGUCGUCCAUCCUCCACCCUCUACCGGGGACGAGGUACGCCGCGGUGCAUUCAUCCAUGCUUUCACCCCUUCCGACCCAUCUCGGACGGCGCCGCACUGUGGUACCAGCCAGUCGCGACGAGACCGGUAACGCCUCCGCGUGCGGGCAGCCCACUUUCAAGGCCCGGUUGCAGUUCGCCGCAUGGCGCCAUCACCGAGCGUACGUGCUCUCCGUCAACAAGAGCACGGACCACAGCACACUGUCGUUUGCGGGCCGUGUGCUGUUUGCUAGCUGCUUCCACCAGGUGUGA